UAGAUGCGAGAGUAGAGCAUAUCAAUAAGCGGAGGAAAAGAAACUAACAAGGAUUCCCCUAGUAACGGCGAGUGAAGCGGGAAGAGCUCAAAUUUGAAAUCUUAAAGGGUUCUACCUUGACGAAUUGUAGUUUAUAGAAGUGUUUUCUGUUAGUGGAGUUUGGUAAAAGUUCUUUGGAAUAGGACAUCAUAGAGGGUGAGAAUCCCGUAUUUGGUCCAUUAUUCCCUAGCUGUGUGAUACACUUUCAAAGAGUCGGAUUGUUUGGGAAUGCAGUCCAAAAUGGGUGGUAAAUUUUCAUCUAAAGCUAAAUAUUGGCGAGAGACCGAUAGCGAACAAGUACCGUGAGGGAAAGAUGAAAAGAACUUUGAAAAGAGAGUUAAACAGUACGUGAAAUUGUCAAAAGGGAAGCGUUUGACACCAGUGUUGUUUUUCCGAAAAUCAAUUACGAAUGUUUUAUUUUUGAGGAGUUAUGACUUCAUCGGCUUGCUUCUCUCUUUAUGAAACUUUCUUAAUGCACUUUUCGGUUAACAAGUCAACAUCAAUUUCCUUUGUUGUAAAAGGGUAUGAGGAAGGUGGCUUUCUUUUCGGAGAAAGUGUUUAUAGCCUUGUGCCUCUGCAAUCGGAGAGAUUGAGGUCUGCAGCGUAGAUCCUUCGGGGUUAGAUACGUUUGUGCUAAGUUAUAGCUUUUCAUAGACAACUUGUUGACUAUGUUUAGUCUUGUAGCUUACUCGCUGACGCUAUUUUACCUACGCUUAGGAUGUUGACACACGCGCGUGCUCG
Molecule: ribosomal RNA, 780 nt
Filed under: uncultured Neocallimastigales
Lineage: Eukaryota; Fungi; Neocallimastigomycota; Neocallimastigomycetes; Neocallimastigales
Description: partial large subunit ribosomal RNA
Rfam family: Eukaryotic large subunit ribosomal RNA
Source: RNAcentral